RNAcentral lists this ribosomal RNA (423 nucleotides) under uncultured Porphyromonadaceae bacterium. Its description in RNAcentral is "bacterial SSU rRNA". It matches the Rfam family "Bacterial small subunit ribosomal RNA", at positions 355 to 776 of the family's 1533-position model. Lineage: Bacteria; Pseudomonadati; Bacteroidota; Bacteroidia; Bacteroidales; Porphyromonadaceae. The record is from RNAcentral.
UGAGGAAUAUUGGUCAAUGGGCGGUAGCCUGAACCAGCCAAGUCGCGUGCGGGACGAAGGCCCUACGGGUCGUAAACCGCUAUCGCCGGGGAGCAAGGGGCGCCACGCGUGGCGCGGCGAGAGUACCCGGAGAAGAAGCAUCGGCUAACUCCGUGCCAGCAGCCGCGGUAAUACGGAGGAUGCGAGCGUUAUCCGGAUUCAUUGGGUUUAAAGGGUGCGCAGGCGGAGCGCCAAGUCGGCGGUAAAAUCGCGGGGCUCAACCCCGCCCGGCCGUCGAAACUGGCGCCCUUGAGUUGUCGAGAGGUAGGCGGAAUGCGCGGUGUAGCGGUGAAAUGCAUAGAUAUCGCGCAGAACCCCGAUUGCGAAGGCAGCCUACCGGCGGCAAACUGACGCUCAGGCACGAAAGCGCGGGUAUCGAACAGG